AUAAGCGGAGGAAAAGAAACUAACAAGGAUUCCCCUAGUAACGGCGAGUGAAGUGGGAAAAGCUCAACUUUGAAAUCUGGCACCUUCGGUGUCCGAGUUGUAGUCUCAAGAAGUGUUUUCUGUGCUGGUCCAUGUAUGAGUCUGUUGGAACACAGCGUCAUAGAGGGUGACAACCCCGUUCAUGACAUGGAUACCAGUGCUUUGUGAUACACUCUCGAAGAGUCGAGUUGUUUGGGAAUGCAGCUCAAAUUGGGUGGUAAAUUCCAUCUAAAGCUAAAUAUUGGCGAGAGACCGAUAGCAAACAAGUACCGUGAGGGAAAGAUGAAAAGCACUUUGGAAAGAGAGUUAACAGUACGUGAAAUUGUUGAAAGGGAAACGAUUGAAGUCAGACGUGCGUGAUGCGGUUCAGCACUGGUUCGCCAGUGUGUAUUCCGUAUCUUUGCAGGCCAACAUCAGUUUCGGUAGUCGGAUAAAGGUUAGUUGAAUGUGGCACCCUCGGGUGUGUUAUAGCUUCUGACUGAAUACGAUUUCUGGGACUGAGGAACGCAGCGCGCCGCAAGGCAUGUGGUUCCGACCUUUUCGCGCUUAGGAUU
This 593-nucleotide ribosomal RNA is filed under the name Cystobasidium slooffiae. RNAcentral describes it as "eukaryotic LSU rRNA". It matches the Rfam family "Eukaryotic large subunit ribosomal RNA", at positions 46 to 614 of the family's 3401-position model. Lineage: Eukaryota; Fungi; Basidiomycota; Cystobasidiomycetes; Cystobasidiales; Cystobasidiaceae. The record is from RNAcentral.